Molecule: long non-coding RNA, 990 nt
Organism: Triplophysa dalaica
Lineage: Eukaryota; Metazoa; Chordata; Actinopteri; Cypriniformes; Nemacheilidae
Exons: 4
Source: RefSeq, a predicted model, not a curated record
CGCACACCGAAGUCUGUAUCAACUUGAGCGUAGGGUCCCGACUGAGACAAAUGAAUGGAACCAAAGUCCGCAGGGAGAUUCACCCGAGCACCGUUUACCUGAUGGGAAGAAGAAUAAAACACAGCUUGACACACAUGCAGGGCACUGGAUGCUGACUACUGAAGUUUAGGUUGUGUGUGACGGUGCUCAGCACAGCUUCAUGUCUGGCCUUCCCACUCUGUUCAUAGCAUGUUACAUAUUCAAUCUUGAGUACCAGGAUGGGGCAAGCGUGUAUCUUGGAGUCCACUGAAAGAUAUUAAUCCACAGAGUGGAACAAGAAGAAGCGUGAUCUAAAAUGCCAGGAUACAGAAGAAACAGGUUGUAGUGAACCCACAUGUUGCCGCUCUUCUAAACACGAUGAUGAAUUUUCAGUGAAAUUGAUGAAAAUUCUAGCUACUUGUUGUGCUCUGAUGGAUCAAGAUGUGGACCGUUUUACAGACUCACUUGGGCCUUGCUUUGUGAUGUUUUUUCCUGUAUUAUGCAAUUACAGAAAAUGCCUGUAAAUUAAAUUACAGUACUGUGGCUGUAAAAUUUACAGUAACUGGCUGGCAACCCUGCUGCCAGUAAUUUACUGUAAAUUUUACAGGAUUUUUUUUACAGUGUAUUGUAUGUUUCCAGGCAGUUUGCUUCAAAUUGCUUCAGGAGCUGAAAGAUUCGCCAUCAGCUAUCCAGCAUCUGACAUCAGUAUGGACUUCCUUACUAAGCUGACACAUUACUUAAACUAGCUAGGGGUGUUUGUGUGCAACAUAUUCAUUUCUUAACAUGUCUUACAAAAAAAGUAUUCCCAUAAUUAUAGAAUGCCUCUAAAUGAACAGUAACAUGCAACUACUCUUAUGUUUGGGGCUGAUAUCUUAACACCCAAAUUGUUAAUGAAUAUUAAUUUGUUAGGAAUGUUUAUUUUAUUUGAAAAUGAUAAAUAAAGUUAGAUGUACAGGGCUGUGUUUAAAGUCA